ACUCAAAUGAAUAGACGGGGACUUGCACAAGCAGUGGAUUAUGUGGUUCAAUUCGAUGACAAACGAAGAACCUUACCAAGGUUAGAAAUCCAAGCGAAGACAGGAGGAAACUUUUGUCGUCUCACAAGGACGGUUGGACAGGUGAUGCAUGGCCGUCGUCAGUUCGUGGUUUGAAUUGUUCCCUUAAGUGGGGUAACGAACGCAACCCUCGUCGCGUGUUAUAAGUGUCACGCGAGACUACCCAGCACUUUUGGCAGUAAUAGUUAGUGCCAAAAGUGCUGGGGGGAAGGCGAGGAUGACGCCAGGUCAGCAUGUCCCUUUGAUAUCUUGGGCUACACACAUAAUACAAUCGCCAUUACAACGCGACGCAAUACCGCAAGGUGGAGCUAAUCGUAAGAAAAGUGGCGCCAGUUCGGAUUGAGGUCUGCAACUCGACCUCAUGAAGCCGGAAUUGCUAGUAAUCGCGGGUCAGCUAUACCGCGGUGAAUACGUUCUCAAGUCUUGUACACACCGCCCGU
This 518-nucleotide ribosomal RNA is filed under the name uncultured bacterium. RNAcentral describes it as "partial 16S ribosomal RNA". It matches the Rfam family "Bacterial small subunit ribosomal RNA", at positions 899 to 1397 of the family's 1533-position model. The record is from RNAcentral.